This 339-nucleotide ribosomal RNA is filed under the name Bacilli bacterium. Its description in RNAcentral is "partial 23S ribosomal RNA". It matches the Rfam family "Bacterial large subunit ribosomal RNA", at positions 2585 to 2925 of the family's 2925-position model. Lineage: Bacteria; Bacillati; Bacillota; Bacilli. The record is from RNAcentral.
CCAUUAAAGCGUCACGCGAGCUGGGUUCAGAACGUCGCGAGACAGUUCGGUCCCUAUCUGUCGUGGGCGAUGGAAACUUGAGAAGAGCUACUCCUAGUACGAGAGGACCAGAGUGGACGCACCGCUGGCGUACCAGUUAGUCUGCCAGGACUACAGCUGGGUAACUAUGUGCGGAACGGAUAAACGCUGAAAGCAUCUAAGCGUGAAGCCAACUUCAAGAUGAGGUUUCCCAUUAGCAAUAAGUAAGAUCCCUUAUAGACGAUGAGGUUGAUAGGUCAGGUGUGUAAGCAUGGUGACAUGUUGAGCUGACUGAUACUAAUAGAUCGAGGACUUAACCUA